This 266-nucleotide long non-coding RNA is filed under the name Mytilus galloprovincialis (Mediterranean mussel). Lineage: Eukaryota; Metazoa; Mollusca; Bivalvia; Mytilida; Mytilidae. The record is from RNAcentral.
AUAGAUAGAGAUAAACUGUAAACAGCAAAAAUGUUCAGCAAAGUAAGAUCUACAAAUAAGUCAACAUGACCAAAAUGGUCUGUUGACCCCUUUAGAAGUUAUUGCCCUUUAUAGUCAAUUUUUAACCAUUUUUCGUAAAUCUUAAUUAUCUUUUACAAAAAUCUUCUCCUCUGAAACUAUUGGACCAAAUUAAACCAAACUUGGCCACAAUCAUCAUUCGGGUAACUAGUUUAAAAAUUGUGUCCGGUGAUCCGGCCAACCAACCA